GACGAACGCUGGCGGCGUGCUUAACACAUGCAAGUCGAACGGAAAGGCCCUGCUUUUGUGGGGUGCUCGAGUGGCGAACGGGUGAGUAACACGUGAGUAACCUGCCCUUGACUUUGGGAUAACUUCAGGAAACUGGGGCUAAUACCGGAUAGGAGCUCCUGCUGCAUGGUGGGGGUUGGAAAGUUUCGGCGGUUGGGGAUGGACUCGCGGCUUAUCAGCUUGUUGGUGGGGUAGUGGCUUACCAAGGCUUUGACGGGUAGCCGGCCUGAGAGGGUGACCGGCCACAUUGGGACUGAGAUACGGCCCAGACUCCUACGGGAGGCAGCAGUGGGGAAUAUUGCACUAUGGGCGGAAGCCUGAUGCGGCAACGCCGCGUGCGGGAUGACGGGCUUCGGGUUGUAAACCGCUUUCGCCUGUGACGAAGCGUGAGUGACGGUAAUGGGUAAAGAAGCACCGGCUAACUACGUG
RNAcentral lists this ribosomal RNA (468 nucleotides) under uncultured bacterium. RNAcentral describes it as "partial 16S ribosomal RNA". It matches the Rfam family "Bacterial small subunit ribosomal RNA", at positions 28 to 507 of the family's 1533-position model. The record is from RNAcentral.